Molecule: long non-coding RNA, 549 nt
Organism: Elaeis guineensis (African oil palm)
Lineage: Eukaryota; Viridiplantae; Streptophyta; Magnoliopsida; Arecales; Arecaceae
Source: RefSeq, a predicted model, not a curated record
UCUCGAAUCCUGUAAACCCUAGCUCUAUAAAUAUCCACGAAGCGAAGCCCGUUCCUUUCUCCCCAAAACUGGAAGCCGCCCGGCCGCGAAGUGAGAUCAGAGCGUGGGUCUGAGAGGUCGAAACUGCUGAGACGAUGAGGGCGAAGUGGAAGAAGAAGCGCAUGAGGAGGCUCAAGAGGAAGCGCCGAAAGAUGAGGCAGAGGUCGAAGUAGAUGGGCAAAUGCAAGGACAAUCUCUAUGGAUCCACCUCUCUUCAUUGGAUGUGGUAUUGGGAGCAUGUUCGUGUGGGAAUGGUGUUCCUGGGGAAAAAACCCUUGUCAUUCGUCUUUCCAAGUGCUUGUUUUGCCACUUUAGGUAGUAAUGCAUCUGAUUUGUCUAGCAAGAAAACCUUGUGUUUGGUUUUGACUGAGUAAGAUACCUUUUUGUUUGGAGCUAAUACUUUAAAACUGUCUCUAUUAUGAUGCGUAUAUUUAGUGGGGAGGUCCAAUUUAUAUUUUGCAUGGCUUGGUUGAGAAAGUAAGAUAGAUGGAUAUGUUUUUGAUGGUUGCA